GAUGAACGCUGGCGGCGUGCUUAACACAUGCAAGUCGAACGAAGCACCUCUCCCGAUGAUUGACACAGCUUGCUGUAGAUUGAUUCAUUUGAGGUGACUGAGUGGCGGACGGGUGAGUAACGCGUGGGUAACCUGCCUCAUAGAGGGGGACAACAGUUGGAAACGACUGCUAAUACCGCAUAGUAAGAAUAAUUCGCAUGCUUUCUUCUUGAAAGAUUUAUCGCUAUGAGUUGGAAACGCGUCUGAUUAGCUAGUUGGUAAGGUAACGGCUUACCAAGGCGACGAUGAGUAGCCGGCUUGAGAGAGUGGGCGGCCACAUUGGGACUGAGACACGGCCCGAACUCCUACGGGAUGCAGCAGUGGGGAAUAUUGCACAAUGGGGGAAACCCUGAUGCAGCGACGCCGCGUGAGUGAAGAAGUAUUUCGGUAUGUUAAGCUCUAUCAGCAGGGAAGAUAAUGACGGUACCUGACUAGGAAGCCCCGGCUAACUACGUG
Molecule: ribosomal RNA, 495 nt
Filed under: uncultured bacterium
Lineage: Bacteria
Description: partial 16S ribosomal RNA
Rfam family: Bacterial small subunit ribosomal RNA
Source: RNAcentral